GCCGAAGUGGUGGAAUUGGUAGACACGCUGGUUUCAGGUUCCAGUGCAGCAAUGUGUAGGAGUUCGAGUCUCCUCUUCGGCACCA
RNAcentral lists this transfer RNA (85 nucleotides) under Taurinivorans muris. RNAcentral's name for it is "Desulfovibrionaceae bacterium LT0009 tRNA-Leu". It matches the Rfam family "tRNA". From Rfam's summary of the family: Transfer RNA (tRNA) molecules are approximately 80 nucleotides in length. Their secondary structure includes four short double-helical elements and three loops (D, anti-codon, and T loops). Lineage: Bacteria; Pseudomonadati; Thermodesulfobacteriota; Desulfovibrionia; Desulfovibrionales; Desulfovibrionaceae. The record is from RNAcentral.